Molecule: long non-coding RNA, 1370 nt
Filed under: Sinocyclocheilus grahami
Lineage: Eukaryota; Metazoa; Chordata; Actinopteri; Cypriniformes; Cyprinidae
Description: lncRNA (ENSSGRG00000041265.1)
Source: RNAcentral
GUUAGAGCUCUGCUCUGUUAGAGGCCUGCUGGGAAAUAUUCUGCUGAAGUCUCUCGCAAGACUGACGUGGUGGUUAUAUUGCCAUGGCUGUAGACUGAGCUCUAGAUUCCUGAUGAAGUCUUCAGUAUUUACCGCUUUGCCUUUUCGCUCUGCCAUUAUUUAUGUUACACUCCUAUAUGUCUCUGUGCUUUCAUGAGAGAGCCAUCCGGUCUGCAGUGUUUUGUCUAUGAGCUCAUCCCAACUGAGUUUGAAGAGUUCAGAGGAGCAGACUGAGGAAGACAGAAGUGAUGCCGUAAACAUCGAUGCCAAAGAGAGCUUGGAGGACAAGAGACGGUAUAAUCUAGCCUGUCCUCCUGUAGUGACUUACGGCAGGUACCGUGGAUUGAGGGAAGCCCGGAAACCAAAGAAGAAGCAUCGUGUCGAGCUUCAUUCGCCCAUCUCUGAGGGAGAAGAGACUACGCAACCCAACGGCCAUGAGGACAGUGAGAUCUCCUCCUGCGCUGUGAACACCAUGAGCUCUGAUGGUCAUGAAAACCCCACUGCCGUAAAUCAAGCAUCUCCUUCACAGCAGAUAGAAGAAGUGUCAGCUCAAGCAGACGAGGUUCUCGCUGUUGAAUCUGAACUCCUGUGUCUGAGCAGCUCUCAGAGAGAGACUGAGCUUGUGUGUGUGUAUAAAUCAGUGCUGUAGCUCAUGUCUAAUAGAUGAAGUCAUUGUGUCUGCAUGUUUCUGAGCACUGAAAGCUUAUGCAAUGUGGUUUUGCUAAUGCAUGUCCACGAACUCGCCUACGUUCUCUGUUAUUCAGCAGCACUCAAACACGCGUGGAAAUCACAUGGGGGAUGUUUUUCACUUUGUUUUUCGUAAACUUGAAAUUGUACUGGUGCACAGUGCACAGACGGCUGAUUUGAUCCAGAGAUUAUGAAGAAAACAACAGCGUCACGUACAUGCUGAGAUGUUUUUAAGGUUUAUGUAUGAGCCUUUGACAAAAAUUGUACAUGAAAUAUUUGUUUGUGUAAGUUGAUGAGUUCUGCGAUGUUCCUGUCCUGUGUUUCUGAAUGCUUUUUGUUCAAUCACUUCCUUUUCUUUGUUCUCUGAGACUCUUUUGGUCUCCACAGCAAUGUCCUUGAGAUUCUGUGUGUGUGAGAGACGUUGUGUUGCUUGUUAAGAUGCUGAUGGGUGUUUGAACACUGUGUGUUCAGUCGGUUGCUGUAUGUUGAUCCGUUUCACCGUGGCUCGUGUGUUCUUCUGGAGGAGGGUCAGACUCUAAAGACCAGCGGAGGAUCUCCACAGGACCUGAAGGAGACCAGUCUGUCUGUGCGCUCUGUCCGGACGCUGCUCAAGGUAUCAGGAGCCGUCUGUCUCUGUGUUUUGG